AUUGAACGCUGGCGGCAGGCUUAACACAUGCAAGUCGAACGAGUGGCGGACGGGUGAGUAAUGCUUGGGAAUCUGCCUUAUGGAGGGGGUUACCUACGGGAAACUGUAGCAAAUACCGCUUACCAUAGGAGGGGCCCAAGUGGGAUUAGGUAGUUGGGGGGGUAAAGGCUCACAAAGCCGACGAUCCCUAGCUGGUCUGAGAGGAUGACCAGCCACACUGGGACUGAGACACGGCCCAGACUCCUACGGGAGGCAGCAGUGGGGAAUAUUGCGCAAUGGGGGCAACCUGACGCAGCCAUGCCGCGUGAAUGAAGAAGGCCUUCGGGUUGUAAAGUUCUUUCGGUAGCGAGGCGUUAACUACAGAAGAAGCACCGGCUAACUCCGUGCCAGCCGCCGCGGUAAUAC
RNAcentral lists this ribosomal RNA (405 nucleotides) under uncultured bacterium. Its description in RNAcentral is "partial 16S ribosomal RNA". It matches the Rfam family "Bacterial small subunit ribosomal RNA", at positions 30 to 526 of the family's 1533-position model. The record is from RNAcentral.